GGAGGGUGUCCAGCGACGCCUCGCAGCGGAAGAGCCGCUGGCGUGCCUCGUCACUCUUGGCCGUCAGAUUGCCCAGCGUGAAGAGCAGACGCACGACCAGAUCCUGUGGGAGCGAGGUGUCAGCAGGGGUCAAGAGUUUUCUCACACCUCUCGAGAGGAGGUGGCCGAUAACGGCCCGCAGCUCCCGCUAGUGCCUCGGCGCCGCUUGGUCGGUUACAUCACGAGCAGGUGCACUUGAACGCCGUCUAAUGCUGUCGUGCAGCGACACAGGAGGUGGACCACGACGACGUUUCCCGAGAGAAAUUUGAGCGUACCGGCGCCGUAAAACAGCGCUUCGCUGCAUGACGUCGCAUCCUCACGCAGCAGCAGCCCGACCAGCGAGUCUAGACGGAAGAAAAGCCUCCACACUCAAGACCUUCGAGCCGCUGCUGCCUUUAGCUGCUGGAGAAGAGACGCUAUCGUAUCCCAGCGUGAGUCUGCACCUGUGCUUGUGUUGUUCUUUCCACUCCCGCCCAAAUCUGAUGAGAGAAAGGGCCCAUUGGU
Syngnathus acus (greater pipefish) is the source of this 543-nucleotide long non-coding RNA. RefSeq lists it as uncharacterized. The record is from RefSeq and is a predicted model, not a curated record. Lineage: Eukaryota; Metazoa; Chordata; Actinopteri; Syngnathiformes; Syngnathidae. The transcript has 4 exons.